Raphanus sativus (radish) is the source of this 2264-nucleotide long non-coding RNA. RefSeq lists it as uncharacterized. The transcript is spliced from 6 exons. The record is from RefSeq and is a predicted model, not a curated record. NCBI's taxonomy places the organism in Eukaryota, Viridiplantae, Streptophyta, Magnoliopsida, Brassicales, Brassicaceae.
UCUCUUUUGGGCUUUUAAUUGAAACACAUACCCAGGUUUGACCCAUAUCUUCUUCUCAACUUCUCGACGUAUCAUUAUUGGCUGCCAUUGCCGCCGUUCUCUACUCCACGUUCAUCUCCUCCACCGCGGAAGAUCCGCCCAGUCUGUUGUCGGUCGACUCAUACGAUUCUGGGAUUCCAGGAACAUUAGCAAGAAUGGAGAGUUCAUGGGCAUCACCAUUCUCCUCCUUGAUGAACUGAUCUAAGAAGGCUCUGCAUAUUGAUUUUGUCGGCUCCAGAUUCUUAAAAAAAGAAACAAACAUCAAUCCUUCGGACGACUCACUGCAUCUCCUCCUUUGCGAGUGGCUCCAGGUCUCCUCAUAUGCCUCAUUGUCCUAUGCGAGUCCUCUGUCGCCGGCUAAGGUGGUUAAGCCUCUUGGCUCUGAGAUUCUUGGUACUGUUAUGUCUUCAAAGAUGUGGGAAAUUGCUUAGGAUUAUGCUCGAUCAUGUGUUCUUAAUCAUAGCGUCCAGCCUCAUGGAUAUCAGAAGGAAACUGCUGUGGUCUUCAAUGUGGUAGCUCAAGUGCUUGGACUGCUUGUGGAUUUUCAGUAUAUUCCUGCUGAGAAGUUAUCUGAGAUUUCAGGUUCAAGCCAAGGACAUGGUAAUUGCUGCACUGAGUCACCUCAAUGAGUCUUCCAUGACGAGGACCUUUCUCAACGUCUCGUCUUCUCAAAGCAAUGUUGGGAUUGAUUACUCCGGUUUGAGUUUGACCAGUAUGGACGGUUAUGGUUUAAGGUCAAACCUUCACAACACAGCAGAAUGCAGUGGCCAUGUUGACAUGGAAGUUACUCCACAAGGUCUAUAUGAAGACUCCAAGCUCUGGAACUGCUUUCAGAUUCUUGGCUUGGAUGAACCUUAAUCUGAUUUGAACUGAAGUUUGCAACAAAUUUGCUAAUGAGUGAUAUUGUUGCUUUCUUGAACAAUUACUUCUAGGUUGCACGGGUACGUCAAUCUAUAGCCGUCUCGCGUACCGGGUUCGGCGGGGGGACGGGUACGUCCCGGGUAAACGUCCCCGACACGUGCAAGAUGACCUUACUUCUUUAAGAAUUAGCUGAGCUGAUGUCUGUAAUCAAAGAUGAAACCAUUAGCAGAAAGAGUGGUAAACAGAUAUUAUUGGAGCUCUUGCUCAAAUAUGAAACUGCCCAAAUCAUAAAAGCAAAAGACUUUAGACAAGUAUGUAUAUGCUAUUCAAAGAAGUACAUAGUUUUUUCCGAGCCAUUUUGAAGGUUCAUUGAGAAUAUAUGUUGUACGAGAGAGGCAUGUGUCUUCUUAUGCUCAUCUCUUUAUUAAGCAAAAAAAAUCUGAAAUUAGGCGUACAAUCAUUAUUUAAAAUAAACAUCCAACAAUGUUAAAUACUCUAAUACACAAUAUAUACACAACACCAACCACUAUACAAAUAUUUGAAAAUCAGUAACCACGACAGAACGCUAACUACACAAAUAAAACAUCACAUAUAUACAUAAAGGUAAAACAACAACUACAUCUAUAACCCCGCGCUUGCGCGGGGGCAGAGCCCCUAGUUAAAAGAAUACGACAGCUAAGGGAGGAAGGAAGAAAAUAGAUGCGUUGAUUGGUCAACAAUUUAAUUGUGAAGUCAUUAUAACUUUUUGAAGCUUAUAAAACGAGACAACCGAGGCUUUAGAAUGAGACAGAUUACAGAUCAUAAAUAAGACAAGAGAAAGAGACUCUGAGAAAAUCGAUAUUAGAUGGAGAAAAGGAGUUUGUAUGGUUUGGUAGUAAUGCUAAUGUACUUGGUGGGUGGUGGCUAUAGUCAAGGGAUAGUGAAACGGAUACGUGACAAAGCUGAAUGGGAAGCAAUCCUGGCCGAUGCCGAUCAUUACAUAGGGCUUAUAGUAACGUCCCCCCUUUGCGGUGCUCCAUGUGCUAUAUUGAACGACCAAGUGGUUCAAAUUGUCGAUUCAUUAAACUCACUCGGCGUCCGGAUUGAGUUCUUUAUAGCUAACAUUUGGGAGACUGCUAUCUUAUCAGAGUGGUUAGUCGAAUUUGUACCAACCGUCAUAAUUUUGAGACAUGGAGACGUAAUAGUUCGCUACGAAGACCUUCUGGACUGGGGUAAAUUUUAUGAUCUAUUAUUCGGCUCAGGUAUAUUCAGCCCCGCCCCAUCCCCCUCUGAAGUCGAAUUUCCACUGCCUCCUCAAUCCGGCUUGUAAAUUACAGUCCUGUCUUGAUUUAGUAACGUCACUUUAUGUGUACUAUACUGUAUUU